CAGUGCUCCGCUUCGGUUCGAGAGCAACGGCUGCGUAGGGUGGGAAACGCGAGAACACCAACAGCGUAGGGGCUGAUGAUGAAGCUGAGAGGCACUAUCUGAACAUAAGGCUGGGAGGAGAUGCAGAUCCAGAGUAGCAGCUGCUGAAGGUAACGCCGAGCACCUCAUUAGAGCGAUCACUUAGAAUCAUAGAAUCGCUAAGGUUGGAAAAGACCCACAGGAUCAUCCAGUCCAACCAUUUCAUUGCUAUUUCAUUCACUUUCAUUGCUUUAAGCAACAAGAGAAAAAUAAAAGUGAUCUGUAAGGCACUAACCAAGCAGAGCUAAUCUUCCUGUGGCAGCCUGAGCUGUAGCUGCUGUUCUUACAGCAGCUCGCCUUUCCCUCUGUCCUUUAGCGAGAUGCUCCAGCAAUAACUAGUAUAUCACUCUCCAUUAGUGCCUCCUUGGUACAUCAGUCAGCACCACAGGGACGCUCCGCAGGUUAGGAAGAGCUAAGAAAAAAAAAAAAGAAGAAGAAAUGUUUAAGUGCCACCUCCAAAUUCUGCCAACAGAUGCGCUGUUUUCUUACCUGGCAGUGAACCAAGGAAUUCCUUUCCCCUUUCUUUGCUAUUUGCAGUAGUGAAAAUGACAUGGAUCGUGGUUGGCUUAGACUGAAAGAGCAAUGAAUUGAGCUAAGCAUGCUGAGAACCAAUCAUGAUGCCAGUGAGCCUGAGCACUUACAAAUCAGCUUCAUCAGCCAUAUUCUGAUCAGAUGAAAUAACAGACAGAUGCUCAAGUGAAGAAUUCAAUGUAUAUUUAUUAUUCACAGUUAAUUACUAUCUACCAAAUGCUGCUGCAGAGUUAAAGGAUUAAGUACAUAGGCCUUUUUUAUUUAAACACUGAUUUUUUUUUUUAAUAUAUAUACACACACAAGACAUAAGUCUGCAAGGUUGCAUGAUAUACACCAAUUCCAAAAUAAGGAAACAAUCAAAUGGUCCAGGUGUAGAAUGCCAUAGAUUCUUUUUUCCAAUCACUUUACAAAGAAGGAAGAAAGUGAGUGACAACUAGCAAGGAGAGGGGGAGAAAGUAAUGCUCUACAGGAUAGCUCUCUCUUUCAUCUGCUGGAAAAUUAAAGUAUAAGGCAGAGUUUGUCUCAGGAAUAAAACAUUUGUAACAUUUAGUACAAAAAAGGCACCCUCCAACAAAAGACUGCCUGUACUUAGGCAGGGCAGGAGGAGCUCUCCACUGCAGUUUCUGGAUUCAUUGUUGGAGUGAAGGGAUCCAGCCAAACGGCUCUCAAAAGGAGAAACAACACAACUGAAGAUUGGCACAGGGAGUAAUGCAGUUUGAUUUCUUUCUAUCCAAUUCAAUGUCACACUGCUCUGGUGGAAGAGGAAAUGGCCACAAUGAAGGCCAUUAUGAGAAGAGGUGGGGAUUAUAGUCAUCACACAGCCUGCUGCGAAUGGGGAGUCUAAAAGUAACACUGACCUGAAGAGGGAAGGAGAAACUGGAGAACAGUGAUGCCAACCCCACUUUUCAAGAGCAACACGACUGCAAAUACUCCCUAUCCAGGCAAAAGAGACAGGCUGAUUACAUGCAUCACAUAGAAACAUUCACUAAUAGCAUAAAAUGUUUUCAAGCACUGUUUCUUGAGGUUUUUCUGCAUUAAAAUUUUCCAUCAACGGAAUGUACAUUUUGUAGGACAUCUCAGGGCUACUCUUUCUCAAAUUCCCCACUUAACCCUCCCUCCCCCAAAUAUUCUUCCUCAUUUUCCCUGGUCAUACCUUUCCCCUUUAUCUUAAAUCUUUCAAGGCUUCUGGUUUCAGCUUCCCAUGUUUGAGCAGCCUAAGCUGCCAAGGAAUGCUUUUUUUUUUUUUUUUCCUGUAACAAGGGAAGUCAAA
Long non-coding RNA from Gallus gallus (chicken), 1879 nucleotides. RefSeq lists it as uncharacterized. The transcript has 2 exons. The record is from RefSeq and is a predicted model, not a curated record. Lineage: Eukaryota; Metazoa; Chordata; Aves; Galliformes; Phasianidae.